RNAcentral lists this small RNA (420 nucleotides) under Pongo abelii (Sumatran orangutan). RNAcentral describes it as "processed transcript". Lineage: Eukaryota; Metazoa; Chordata; Mammalia; Primates; Hominidae. The record is from RNAcentral.
CUUACCAAGACUGGGGGAAGGGGAAAAGAACACUGUUUAUACGUGCCUGAUUGGAGAGUUGACGUGCGAUUAUUUUAUCUCAACUUUUUUUAAAGCUGAACCAGUCGUACGAGAGGGGCUGAAGCACAUUAGUGAAGGAUGUGUGUUCAUCUACUGCCAAGUAGGAGAAAAGCCUUAUUGGAAAGAUCCAAAUAAUGACUUCAGAAAAAACUUGAAAGUAACAGCAGUGCCUACACUAAUUAAGUAUGGAACACCUCAAAAACUGGUAGAAUCUGAGUGUCUUCAGGCCAACCUGGUGGAAAUGUUGUUCUCUGAAGAUUAAGAUUUUAGGAUGGCAAUCAUGUCUUGAUUUCCUGAUUUGUUCUAGUAUCAAUAAACUGUAUACUUGCUUUCAAUUCACGUUAGCAAUAAAUGAUGUUA